GCAAGGGAGGCUGGGAAAUGAAGUCUCUAGUUGGAUAGCGAAGACAACAGAAGAUGGUACUUAAGGCUUUGGCUCUGGAAAAAGAGAUACCUGGAUUCUGAUCCUGAAGUCUCUCACUUAAACUCUACAAGUCUCACUUUCUCAUCAGAUAAGUUCUCCAAGAAACAGAUUUGCAUGCAGGAGUCUUAUUGGGGAAUGCUUUCAGGAACUACUACCCCGUGUGGGAGCGAGAGAAGCAGGACUGUGCAGAAGGAGAAGUUGAACAACUCCAUGGAAAGCUCUGAAGCUGGGAUCAUCCUUCCAGAAUGUCUUGGAUUGAGACAAAGGCCUUAUCUUGUACAAGAUUCAUGUGUCCAUGAGCUCAUUUCCACCAGAACUCAGCCCAGGCUGCUGUGGGAUGGAAUCACUUGCACCUGGAUGUGCUUUCUGGGCUGGUACAUACAGAAGACAUCGGAUGCCACUGGUCCUGCCCCUUCUUGCCCUUUCUCCUUGCUGCCUUGAAUGAAGACUUGAAGGCUGGAGUUCCUGCAGCCAUCAGCCUCUAUGAAAGAAAGACCAAGAGAACUGUAGUGACACCAGCCGUGACAUUGUUGCUGAUAAACCAAUGCCAGUAACCAUUCUACCUCUAGAUUUUGUUAUGUGAAAAGAAUAAAUCUCUAUUUGUUUAGGCC
This is a long non-coding RNA of Pongo pygmaeus (Bornean orangutan), 671 nucleotides long. RefSeq lists it as uncharacterized. Lineage: Eukaryota; Metazoa; Chordata; Mammalia; Primates; Hominidae. The transcript is spliced from 5 exons. The record is from RefSeq and is a predicted model, not a curated record.